Molecule: small nucleolar RNA, 125 nt
Filed under: Peromyscus maniculatus bairdii (prairie deer mouse)
Lineage: Eukaryota; Metazoa; Chordata; Mammalia; Rodentia; Cricetidae
Source: RNAcentral
GGGCACGUUUCAUCGUCUUUCCUUCACACCGAGAGAAAAGACAUUUCUGAUAGGCCAAACAAACUUGGAGGUAAAUUAGCAGCAUGCCUCCUGUGGCCGCUGCAGUCAGUCACCUUCAGACAAGU